UACAGAGGUCCCAAGCGUUGUUCGGAUUUACUGGGCGUAAAGGGAGCGUAGGUGGCGUUCUAAGUCUGAUGUGAAAGCUCUGAGCUUAACUCAGAAAUGGCAUUAGAAACUAGUUUGCUCGAGGAUUGGAGGGGAGAUUGGAAUACUUGGUGUAGCAGUGAAAUGCGUAGAUAUCAAGUGGAACACCAGUGGCGAAGGCGAAUCUCUGGACAAUUCCUGACACUGAUGCUCGAAAGCUAGGGGAGCAAACGGG
Molecule: ribosomal RNA, 253 nt
Filed under: uncultured bacterium
Lineage: Bacteria
Description: partial 16S ribosomal RNA
Rfam family: Bacterial small subunit ribosomal RNA
Source: RNAcentral